Ceratotherium simum simum (southern white rhinoceros) is the source of this 93-nucleotide non-coding RNA. Lineage: Eukaryota; Metazoa; Chordata; Mammalia; Perissodactyla; Rhinocerotidae. The record is from RefSeq and is a predicted model, not a curated record.
UGACAAGCAGUGCCAUGUCCGCGCCCAGGAACCAAACCUGGGCCACUGCAGUGGAGCACACCGAACUUUACCACUGGGCCAUGGAGGCUGGCC